This 137-nucleotide small nucleolar RNA is filed under the name Propithecus coquereli (Coquerel's sifaka). RNAcentral describes it as "Small nucleolar RNA SNORA75 (ENSPCOG00000000240.1)". It matches the Rfam family "Small nucleolar RNA SNORA75". Rfam says of the family: U23 belongs to the H/ACA class of snoRNAs. snoRNAs bind a number of proteins (including dyskerin, Gar1p and Nop10p in the case of the H/ACA class) to form snoRNP complexes. Lineage: Eukaryota; Metazoa; Chordata; Mammalia; Primates; Indriidae. The record is from Rfam by way of RNAcentral.
GUCUUCUCAUUGAGCUCCGUUCUGUCUCUUGGUGGCAGUUUAUGGAUUCGCACGAGAAGAAGAGUAAUUCACAGAACUUAGCAUUAUUUUACCUUCUUUUUUUAUGGAGGUAUAUUUGGCUGUUUUGUGAGACAUUC